UUGAUUAUUGCUAGUGUUAAAAAAGAAUGCUACAUAUAUUUUAAUAAUUAUAAUUUUCAAAAUAUAAUUUUAGAAUAUCAUAUGUUUAUCCUACGAGAAAUCCUAAUUUCCAAUAGACUAUUUUUAUACUACUGACGUUUGACUCCGGAUUAUAUAAUUUGUCGACAGGUAACCUACUCUGCGUUUGGACAACCAAGUAUUCAGUCAAGAAUAAAGAGCGACAAAAAAAGGAAAAUUAAAUUUUUAAUUGGUGCAAUUUUGGGAGAAAGUUUACUGUUUUCUGAUGAUUUUGUCAUUAUUAGAAAACACAUAACACUUAAUUUCUACCCAAUAUUGUUCCGAUUUAAUGCUUGAUGCUACUUCUUUACAUUGCUCUUACUUGACCGGGUACCAGGAUGUCUUACCACAGAAUAGGUGACCUGUUGAAAAAAUAUAAAUUCCCUAGUCAAUUUUUGUACGACUAAUACAAUUCAAAUUGUUUCUUUAUACUUGUUGUUUUUCUCUCACAAUUCUUUCAACAGUGUUUUCCAAAUUGUCAGAAGUUCAAUACUAUGUAAAAUGUAGA
Molecule: long non-coding RNA, 565 nt
Filed under: Mytilus galloprovincialis (Mediterranean mussel)
Lineage: Eukaryota; Metazoa; Mollusca; Bivalvia; Mytilida; Mytilidae
Source: RNAcentral